Molecule: ribosomal RNA, 564 nt
Filed under: uncultured Glomeromycotina
Lineage: Eukaryota; Fungi; Glomeromycota
Description: SSU rRNA
Rfam family: Eukaryotic small subunit ribosomal RNA
Source: RNAcentral
UUGGAGGGCAAGUCUGGUGCCAGCAGCCGCGGUAAUUCCAGCUCCAAUAGCGUAUAUUAAAGUUGUUGCAGUUAAAAAGCUCGUAGUUGAAUUUCGGGACCAAUUUGUUGGUCGUGCCUCGGUACGUACUGGUAUUAUUGGUUUCUCCCUUCUGAAGAACCUCGAUGUCAUUAAUUUGGUGUCGUGGGGAAUCAGGACUGUUACUUUGAAAAAAUUAGAGUGUUUAAAGCAGGCAUACGCUUGAAUACAUUAGCAUGGAAUAAUGAAAUAGGACGUUUGAUUCUAUUUUGUUGGUUUCUAGGAUCGACGUAAUGAUUAAUAGGGAUAGUUGGGGGCAUUAGUAUUCAAUUGUCAGAGGUGAAAUUCUUGGAUUUAUUGAAGACUAACUACUGCGAAAGCAUUUGCCAAGGAUGUUUUCAUUAAUCAAGAACGAAAGUUAGGGGAUCGAAGACGAUCAGAUACCGUCGUAGUCUUAACCAUAAACUAUGCCGACAAGGGAUCGGAUGAUGUUAAUUUUUUAAUGACUCAUUCGGCGCCUUACGGGAAACCAAAGUGUUUGGGUUC